CUUCUAUAUAGCAUCUACUGUAGUGGGUGCACACAAUGCGCUCACUACGUGGAUGCUUGUGGUUUUUUGUAUUUUUUUUUUAAAUCAAAACGCAUGUUUUGAUCGAAUUUGCAAAUAUGUAUGCAUUUUCAUCCCAUUCGAAUUCAUCCCGCGAAAGCUCUGCUCCAUCGCAACCCGCGUCUGCUCCCGCAACCCAGCUCCUCUCGGCGACGCCAUCUCUCUCGUCAGUGCCAUUGAGCGGUGCUCCUCCGUCUGCCCAGUGCCUCCACUGUUCUGCGAGCUCGUUGAACGGAGCAAACAAGAUUUCAAUCCCGUGAACCUCCUUCCUCGCCAUGAACCCGCGUCUGUCGGCUUCCUCUUGCCAGCGCCACCUCGCGAAGGCAUCUCUCGGUUCAGGGCCAACUCGCGACGCUCGUUAAUCUGCCCAGCACCGCCUCUCCCCGCGAGCUGAUUGAACGGACCAAACCAGCAACAGGACUGAGUGCUCUGUUUCUCCAAAUGGUUUGCUAGGUUAUUCAGGUCAAGAAUAAUAUAUCUUAGUUUUCUGGUUUUGUGUGGCAUGAAAAUGACGAAAACCAGAUGAUCAAAGUUAAAGAGAAAUUUGACAAGUAAAACAAAGAGAAGUUGUCGGAAUUUUGUGAUGUCCUUGACAGUCCAAUUGCCAAGGCUACUACAAGGAAGGAAGACAUUGUUGCAAACCUGAUAUACUUUUUGGUGGCCCCUCAUGCUACAAAUACUGUGCUUCUUGCAGAAAAAGAGAAGUCAUGUAAAUCCAGCAAAAAACGGAAGAGGGUGGUCAGAGGAAGUUCAUCAUCUGGAAGUGCAGCUUCAAAACGUUCAGCAAAGGAUUUCAAACUCCUUAUAUUGAUAUACAACAAUUUUAUGAAGGUCUAAAUAUGGAAGUGGAGCAGCAAAUUCCAUUACUCUUGGUUGAGAGACAAGCACUAAAUGAAGCAAGAGAAGAAGAAAAGAAU
This is a long non-coding RNA of Juglans microcarpa x Juglans regia, 974 nucleotides long. RefSeq lists it as uncharacterized. The record is from RefSeq and is a predicted model, not a curated record. NCBI's taxonomy places the organism in Eukaryota, Viridiplantae, Streptophyta, Magnoliopsida, Fagales, Juglandaceae. The transcript has 6 exons.